Molecule: long non-coding RNA, 1330 nt
Filed under: Sus scrofa (pig)
Lineage: Eukaryota; Metazoa; Chordata; Mammalia; Artiodactyla; Suidae
Description: lncRNA (ENSSSCG00005001849.1)
Source: RNAcentral
UAUUUCAAAAUCUGUAUUUUAAAAAAAAUUUUAUUUAUUUGUAUAUCUAUGUAUGUAUGUAUGUAUUUUGCUUUUUUAGGGCCACACCUGAGGCAUAUGGCGUUUCCCAGGCUAGGGGUCUAAUCGGAGCUACAGUUGCCAGCCUAUGCUACAACCAGAGCAAUGCAGGAUCCAAGCCACGUCUGCAGCCGACACGACAGCCAGAUUCUUAACCCACCGAGUGAGGCCAGGGAUCAAACCCACAUCCUCAUGGUUCCUAGUCGGAUUCAUUUCCGCUGCUCCACGAUGGGAACUCCCUCCAAAUCAGUAUUUAUCAGAGUUUAUAUGUUUGCUCUCCUAUCUGUGGAUACCCAUAUUACCUUCAUCUUCCUACCACUUUAGAUAAUACUAUGAUAAACACACUUUUUAGACCUCUGUGAUGUUUUCCUCCCCCUUCCUUCCAUCCAUCCUUUCUUUCUUUCUUUCUUUCGCCACCAUGUGUGGUGGCUUGAUGUGGGAUCUCAGUUCCUAGACCAGGGAUUGAACCCAGACAGCAGUGUUGCAAGUACCAAAUCCUAACCAUUAUACCAACAGGGAACUCGUUGUAUUUUCUUUGAAAUAUUUAACCAGCAGUGUGAUUUCUGGAUCAUAGGGUAUUCAUAUAUUUUAUUGAAGGACUGCAAGAUUGUGUUCCAGAAUAAGUUGCAGUGGUCUCUAUUCCUUCAGGGUUCAAGAGAGUUUUAGUAUCCUUGUAUCCUCCCCAGUGCUUACUGUUAUUCAGUGCCUUGCUUUUUCCAGACUAGUGGGUACAAAGUGAAAUCUCAUUUUAUUUAUUUAUUUUUUUGUCUUUUUGCCUUUUCUAGGGCUGCUCCCACAACAUAUGGAGAUUCCCAGACUAGGGGUCUAAUUGGAGCUGAUGCCAGAGCCACAGCAACGUGGGAUCUGAGCUCCGCGUCUGCAACCUACACCACAGCUCACGGCAACGCCGGAUCGUUAACCCACUGAGCAAGGGCAGGGACCGAACCCGCACCCUCAUGGUUCCUAGUCGGAUUCGUUAACCACUGCGCCACGACGGGAACUCCCGAAAUGUCAUUUUAAAUUACAUUUUGGAGUUCCCAUUGUGGCUCAGUGGUGCAAACCAGACUAGGAUGUGGGUUUGAUUCCUGUCCCCACCCAGUGGGUUAAGGAUCCGGCAUUGCCACAAGCUACAGCAUAGGUUGCAGGUGCUGCUUGGAUCCAGUGUUGGCUGUGGCUGUGGUGUCGGCUUCAGCUGUACCUCCGAGUAGACCCCUAGCCUAGGAACUUCCAUAUGCCAUGAGUGCAGCCCUAAAAAGACAAAAAAAAAAAAAAA